UUUUGUAAAGGAAGAAGCCGUUUCAAAUGAUCCGAGGAACCCGCCAUUUCCGGAUCGCGAGACAUUUUUGGGACAUGCUGUAUAUUAUUAACUGACUGUAUAUAUGUUGACUGAUACAUUAACUGAGUAUAUAUUAUUAUGGCUCUAUAUUAUUAUUAACGCUGUUGCAAAACGUUGCGAGGGCAAAAAAGUGCGGAGCAAGACAAAUGAAAAUGAUCGUUUAGUUCAAACGGUGAGCGAAUGAGUCAGCAGAGCGAGCCACUAUAGCGGCGCGUUAUAAAUAAGCUGGCAUCGUACCUAAGAGGUUAAACGACUUCCCGAGACGGACGAGUUAACCCUUUUAGUGCCGGGCGAAAAAGAGGGAGGCGAGACUCGUUCAACAACACGUUGAAAACGGGGCACGAUUUAGGAACUUGUUCUUUUUUUCAAGGGAAACCGUAUUGCGUUCGCUGACCAAAUCUGUCGUCCAGAUAGUUCAGAGCUAAGUAAACUUAUAUAGUAACUUUAUAAUUUAUUUCAACUGUCUUCGUAACAUUUUGGCACGUACAGAUUACAUUCUAGGACAUCGGUGGAAAUUUGUUCGAGAAUUCGACUCGCUGCACCGCCGUGAUUCUAAACCUGCUCGACGAUCGACGAUCUCACCGACUGUACGAUCCGUCCCGAAGAAAUUCGACGUUUUCAACACCGGUUGCACGAGCUGCUCCCUCAAGUGUGUCACUGCUACGAUUAACCCGUCGCCGUACCAUUUUCUUUGCGAUUGCGACGAUCAGAACAUUUUCGAACGCGAUCAUUUAUUCGAUGAAAAUGAAACUUUGUAUUUGUCGCGUGUUCACGUCCACUCGAAUGUUUAAAUAUCGGAGACUUAAACGGAAUUUAAGUACGGCAAGGGGUUAAGAACGGUUAAGAACGAAAGUACAGUGAAUUUUGUCCGAUCGUCGUUCAGUUUGAAGCUGAAAAUAGACGUAAAUAUUUUAAUAAUUAGAUCAUGAUAGAUUAUAAUUUGAUAAAAUUGAAUAACUUGAGAAGAGGGGACACGAUUUGUCGCGCUUUUGCUUUUAUAAUUGUUGACAAUCCGCUCCCUCUUCCCAAGUCGUCCAUUUUCGUUUCCAUCCUGAACGACAAUUCGAGAGAAUUUACCGUGCCGAAGACGAAAGCUACUGAAUCGUUCGGGGUGAUUAAUGUCGUGCUCGGCAUGGAGAUUAAACGUUCUGUCGUUUAUUUUUGUCAA
This is a non-coding RNA of Megalopta genalis, 1228 nucleotides long. The record is from RefSeq and is a predicted model, not a curated record. NCBI's taxonomy places the organism in Eukaryota, Metazoa, Arthropoda, Insecta, Hymenoptera, Halictidae.